Mesocricetus auratus (golden hamster) is the source of this 579-nucleotide long non-coding RNA. RefSeq lists it as uncharacterized. Lineage: Eukaryota; Metazoa; Chordata; Mammalia; Rodentia; Cricetidae. The transcript is spliced from 5 exons. The record is from RefSeq and is a predicted model, not a curated record.
UCUCCAAGACACCCCCCUCCCCCGCUCCAGCUCUGGCCUGCCACCCUAAGGCUAGUCUCCUAGGCUUCUCAGUCAGCAGGUACCUGGUAGCGAGCUGUGCGACGCGUAGCAGGCAGUUCCACGCUCGCUUUCUCCAGCCCCCGCCCCCUGCUCCUGUGCCCAGCCAGCGCCGCUCCACCAGCCUCUUGGCGCACCUAGCCCUAAAGGUUGAAAAUUAAAGCGAUUGCAAAACCAGCAAGUUCCAAGUCCCUCCCCUAAGGGUCUUCUCGGCUACGUUGGGAAUAAACUGCUUGUAGGCUAAAGGGGUCAGCUUUUUGGGGUGCCGCCUCUUUCCAAACCCCCUACCGGGCCCGCACGCCAGCCCGGGGCACACCAGCAGCGAGGAAGCGAGGACCACCAGAAGACAUCUCGCUAGCAGCAGCAUCUCGUCCGCGGAACCUGAGGACUUGCGAGCUGUCCCCGCGCGGUCUGUGCGCGAGCGGUGAGCGCGUCAUAGGCAAACCUCUGCAGAUGGUUGCAUCGGAGCUGAGGGCCAGAAAAAGAAAAUUCUCAAGAAAUAAAAUAUGGAAUUCCUUGUUC